This 253-nucleotide ribosomal RNA is filed under the name uncultured bacterium. RNAcentral's name for it is "partial 16S ribosomal RNA". It matches the Rfam family "Bacterial small subunit ribosomal RNA", at positions 524 to 776 of the family's 1533-position model. The record is from RNAcentral.
UACGGAGGGAGCUAGCGUUGUUCGGAAUUACUGGGCGUAAAGCGCACGUAGGCGGCUUUGUAAGUUAGAGGUGAAAGCCCGGAGCUCAACUCCGGAAUUGCCUUUAAGACUGCAUCGCUUGAAUCCGGGAGAGGUGAGUGGAAUUCCGAGUGUAGAGGUGAAAUUCGUAGAUAUUCGGAAGAACACCAGUGGCGAAGGCGGCUCACUGGACCGGCAUUGACGCUGAGGUGCGAAAGCGUGGGGAGCAAACAGG